GUAGGUGAACCUGCGGAGGGAUCAUUACCGAGUGCGGGCCCUCGCGCCCAACCUCCCAACCCUUUGUCGAUUCAUAUCUGUUGCCUCGGGGGGCGACCCGGACGUGUGCAAGCACCCAGGAGUCCCCCAGAGGUCCAACCCAACACACUGCGUCUUUGCGUCGGAGUAUUGAAAACAAUCAAUCAAAACUUUCAACAACGGAUCUCUUGGUUCUGGCAUCGAUGAAGAACGCAGCAUCUGACUGACUUCA
This 250-nucleotide unclassified non-coding RNA is filed under the name plant metagenome. Its description in RNAcentral is "partial contains small subunit ribosomal RNA, internal transcribed spacer 1, and 5.8S ribosomal RNA". The record is from RNAcentral.